GUGGGGAAUUGUUCACAAUGGGCGCAAGCCUGAUGACGCAACGCCGCGUGGAGGAUGAAGGUCUUCGGAUUGUAAACUCCUGUUGCCCGGGACGAAAAGCUUCGACCUAACACGUCGAAGUCUGACGGUACCGGGUGAGGAAGCCCCGGCUAACUCUGUGCCAGCAGCCGCGGUAAUACAGAGGGGGCAAGCGUUGUUCGGAAUUACUGGGCGUAAAGGGCGCGUAGGUGGCCUUCUAAGUUGAACGUGAAAUCCCUGGGCUCAACCCAGGAACUGCGUCCAAGACUGGGAGGCUUGAAUCCGGGAGAGGGAUGCGGAAUUCCAGGUGUAGCGGUGAAAUGCGUAGAUAUCUGGAGGAACACCGGUGGCGAAGGCGGCAUCCUGGACCGGUAUUGACACUGAGGCGCGAAAGCCAGGGGAGCAAACGGGAUUAGAUACCCUAGUAGUCC
Molecule: ribosomal RNA, 449 nt
Filed under: uncultured bacterium
Lineage: Bacteria
Description: bacterial SSU rRNA
Rfam family: Bacterial small subunit ribosomal RNA
Source: RNAcentral